ACGAAGUCUUCGGACUUAGUGGCGGACGGGUGAGUAACGCGUGGGAAUCUGCCUUCAGGAGGGGGAUAACAGAGGGAGACCUUUGCUAAUACCCCAUAUGCCUAUGGGUGAAAUGAAUUUCGCCUGAAGAUGAGCCCGCGUCUGAUUAGCUAGUUGGUGGGGUAAAGGCCUACCAAGGCGACGAUCAGUAGCUGGUCUGAGAGGAUGAUCAGCCACACUGGGACUGAGACACGGCCCAGACUCCUACGGGAGGCAGCAGUGGGGAAUUUUCCGCAAUGGGCGAAAGCCUGACGGAGCAACGCCGCGUGAGUGAUGAAGGCCCUUGGGUCGUAAAGCUCUUUUGUCAGGGACGAUAAUGACGGUACCUGAUGAAUAAGCAUCGGCUAACUCUGUGCCAGCAGCCGCGGUAAUACAGAGGAUGCAAGCGUUAUCCGGAAUUAUUGGGCGUAAAGCGUACGUAGGUGGCGAUUCAAGUCUGUGGUUAAAGCCUGCAGCUCAACUGCAGAAAGGCCAUGGAAACUGAAACGCUAGAGUGCGAUAGAGGUAAGGGGAAUUCCCGGUGUAGCGGUGAAAUGUGGAGAUAUCGGGAAGAACACCAGCGGCGAAAGCGCCUUACUGGGUCGCAACUGACACUGAGGUACGAAAGCCAGGGGAGCAAAUGGGAUUAGAUACCCCAGUAGUCCUGGCCGUAAACGAUGGACACUAGGUGUUGCGCGUAUCGACCCGUGCAGUGCCGUAGCUAACGCGUUAAGUGUCCCGCCUGGGGAGUACGCACGCAAGUGUGAAACUCAAAGGAAUUGACGGGGGCCCGCACAAGCGGUGGAGCAUGUGGUUUAAUUCGAUGCAACGCGAAGAACCUUACCAGGGCUUGACGUACCGUGAAUUCUGGGGAAACUCGGAAGUGCCUUCGGGAACAUGGAUACAGGUGCUGCAUGGCUGUCGUCAGCUCGUGUCGUGAGAUGUUGGGUUAAGUCCCGCAACGAGCGCAACCCUCGUUUUCAGUUGCCAUCAUUAAGUUGGGCACUCUGGAGAGGCUGCCGGUGACAAACCGGAGGAAGGUGGGGAUGACGUCAAGUCAGCAUGGCUCUUACGUCCUGGGCUACACACGUGCUACAAUGGGUCGGAUAAAGGGUAGCAAUCUCGCGAGAGGGAGCCAAUCCCAAAAACCGCCUCUCAGUUCGGAUUGUAGGCUGCAACUCGCCUACAUGAAGUCGGAAUCGCUAGUAAUCGCAGGUC
RNAcentral lists this ribosomal RNA (1236 nucleotides) under uncultured bacterium. RNAcentral describes it as "bacterial SSU rRNA". It matches the Rfam family "Bacterial small subunit ribosomal RNA", at positions 66 to 1350 of the family's 1533-position model. The record is from RNAcentral.